This 252-nucleotide ribosomal RNA is filed under the name uncultured bacterium. RNAcentral describes it as "partial 16S ribosomal RNA". It matches the Rfam family "Bacterial small subunit ribosomal RNA", at positions 524 to 776 of the family's 1533-position model. The record is from RNAcentral.
UACGUAGGUCCCGAGCGUUGUCCGGAUUUAUUGGGCGUAAAGCGAGCGCAGUUGGUUUAUUAAGUCUGGUGUAAAAGGCAGUGGCUCAACCAUUGUAUGCAUUGGAAACUGGUAGACUUGAGUGCAGGAGAGGAGAGUGGAAUUCCAUGUGUAGCGGUGAAAUGCGUAGAUAUAUGGAGGAACACCGGUGGCGAAAGCGGCUCUCUGGCCUGUAACUGACACUGAGGCUCAAAAGCGUGGGGAGCAAACAGG